AUUGAACGCUGGCGGCAUGCUUUACACAUGCAAGUCGAACGGCAGCGCGGGCUUCGGCCUGGCGGCGAGUGGCGAACGGGCGAGUAAUUCAUCGGAACGUGCCCAGCAGUUGGGGAUAGCUCGGCGAAAGCCGGAUUAAUACCGCAUACGAUCAGAGGGUGAAAGCGGGGGAUCUUCGGACCUCGCGCUAUCUGAGCGGCCGAUGGCAGAUUAGCUAGUUGGUGGGGUAAAGGCCUACCAAGGCGACGAUCUGUAGCUGGUCUGAGAGGACGACCAGCCACACUGGAACUGAGACACGGCCCAGACUCCUACGGGAGGCAGCAGUGGGGAAUUUUGGACAAUGGGCGAAAGCCUGAUCCAGCAAUGCCGCGUGUGUGAUGAAGGCCUUCGGGUUGUAAAGCACUUUUGGCGGGAACGAAAAGGACUGUGCCAAUACCACGGUUCGAUGACGGUACCCGCAGAAUAAGCACCGGCUAACUACGUG
This 484-nucleotide ribosomal RNA is filed under the name uncultured bacterium. RNAcentral's name for it is "partial 16S ribosomal RNA". It matches the Rfam family "Bacterial small subunit ribosomal RNA", at positions 30 to 507 of the family's 1533-position model. The record is from RNAcentral.